This 459-nucleotide ribosomal RNA is filed under the name uncultured bacterium. RNAcentral describes it as "partial 16S ribosomal RNA". It matches the Rfam family "Bacterial small subunit ribosomal RNA", at positions 339 to 795 of the family's 1533-position model. The record is from RNAcentral.
CUACGGGGUGCAGCAGUGAGGAAUAUUGGUCAAUGGGCGCGAGCCUGAACCAGCCAUCCCGCGUGCAGGAUGACGGCCCUAUGGGUUGUAAACUGCUUUUCUAUGCCAAGAAACCUGAUUACGUGUAAUCAGUUGCCGGUAGCAUAGGAAUAAGCAUCGGCUAACUCCGUGCCAGCAGCCGCGGUAAUACGGAGGAUGCAAGCGUUAUCCGGAUUCAUUGGGUUUAAAGGGUGCGCAGGUGGGCUUGUAAGUCAGUGGUGAAAUGCUGCCGCUUAACGGUAGAACUGCCAUUGAUACUGCGAGUCUUGAGUAUGGUUGAGGUAGGCGGAAUGUGUUGUGUAGCGGUGAAAUGCAUAGAUAUGACACAGAACGCCAAUUGCGAAGGCAGCUUACUAAGCCAUUACUGACGCUGAGGCACGAAAGCGUGGGGAGCGAACAGGAUUAGAUACCCCCGUAGUC